This 253-nucleotide ribosomal RNA is filed under the name uncultured bacterium. Its description in RNAcentral is "partial 16S ribosomal RNA". It matches the Rfam family "Bacterial small subunit ribosomal RNA", at positions 524 to 776 of the family's 1533-position model. The record is from RNAcentral.
UACGUGGGGUGCAAGCGUUGUUCGGAAUUACUGGGCGUAAAGCGCGUGUAGGCGGCCAAACGUGUCGGAUGUGAAAGCCCUCAGCUUAACUGAGGAAGUGCGUCCGAAACUAUUUGGCUAGAGUAUGGGAGAGGAGGAUGGAAUUCCCAGUGUAGAGGUGAAAUUCGUAGAUAUUGGGAGGAACACCGGUGGCGAAAGCGGUUCUCUAGACCAUAACUGACGCUGAGACGCGAAAGCGUGGGGAGCAAACAGG